GCGAUAGUUUUAGAGAAAACUUCUGUGGAAAACUUGGUCAGAAGCUAGCAAGUGUCAGGUGAAUCCACAACAUCACCACAAACGUCUUUUCAAGCCAGCUGAACGGGGUGUGACGACCAAGAACAGGCAUGGCAGGAUUCUAUGAUGACGGACAGACAACAGAGCCAAUGCCGGAUGACUACACCCCAGCCUGAUCCAAUCCGAAGAUCCGAUCUCCUAGAUAUCAACCUACUUUCUGUUGUGUAUAUGAAGCUUGUACUUACUGUUAGCAAGGUGUCUUUUUUGCUAGUCUCUGAUGAGCUAACAGAGGGGCCCGUAUAUACGCUGUACCAGAUAUCUCCACUUUGAAAUAAACCUGUCGCUUGUCGUACAAUCUAC
Molecule: long non-coding RNA, 378 nt
Organism: Oncorhynchus nerka (sockeye salmon)
Lineage: Eukaryota; Metazoa; Chordata; Actinopteri; Salmoniformes; Salmonidae
Exons: 2
Source: RefSeq, a predicted model, not a curated record